RNAcentral lists this ribosomal RNA (429 nucleotides) under bacterium. RNAcentral's name for it is "partial 16S ribosomal RNA". It matches the Rfam family "Bacterial small subunit ribosomal RNA", at positions 355 to 776 of the family's 1533-position model. The record is from RNAcentral.
UAGGGAAUCUUCCACAAUGGACGCAAGUCUGAUGGAGCAACGCCGCGUGAGUGAAGAAGGUUUUCGGAUCGUAAAGCUCUGUUGUUGGUGAAGAAGGAUAGAGGCAGUAACUGGUCUUUAUUUGACGGUAAUCAACCAGAAAGUCGCGGCUAACUACGUGCCAGCAGCCGCGGUAAUACGUAGGUGGCAAGCGUUGUCCGGAUUUAUUGGGCGUAAAGCGAGCGCAGGCGGAAUGAUAAGUCUGAUGUGAAAGCCCACGGCUCAACCGUGGAACUGCAUCGGAAACUGUCAUUCUUGAGUGCAGAAGAGGAGAGUGGAAUUCCAUGUGUAGCGGUGGAAUGCGUAGAUAUAUGGAAGAACACCAGUGGCGAAGGCGGCUCUCUGGUCUGCAACUGACGCUGAGGCUCGAAAGCAUGGGUAGCGAACAGG